CAAUAAUUCAAUGUGACUGUUACUGGUGUAGUUCAAAAUAUCACCAUGGGGUUGUGCCCAACUCCUAUCUAGGCUACGGUAUCUCUGCAUUAGAUGGACAGCAUUUCUGCCUGACUGCUGGACUUGUUAUUUGACUCCAGUCAGCUACUCAGUCUUUCCCCACCCCUAACCCUUCCCUGUCAGCUCACCCACACAGGCCUCCUCUAAACAUAAUGAGCUGCCAGGGACAGACAGGGGAGGGGGAGAGAGAACAUAAUUGCUUGCUUUACACAGCUUGUAGGCAGGCAGACAGUUUAGGCAGAGAUACACAGAAGAACACUUAGAGAGAUUGAGAGGAGGCACAAAAUAAAGAAAAAGAGAAGCAAGACAAAAGGGAAACAAAUCACCAACAGCACAAAAAAUGGAUCCCAACAAGAUGCCAAACGCCCCACCACCAGGCUGGAACCCAGAUGAGAAGUCUGGGAUGGGACAACCAGCUCCUCCACCCUACCAGGACCACCCCCAGUACCCCAACACAGGAUACCCUGUACCAGCAGGCUACCCCGCCAAUCCCCAGGGCUACGCACCACCGCCCCAGUAUGGAGGAGCUCCUGGGGCCCCUUACGGACAGCCAUACCCCCAGGGAGAGUACCCCCAGUCCACCGUCACAGUCCAGCCUACGGUGUUUGUGACCCAUGGAGCUCUGCCUUACCCUCUGCCAGACUACCUGGGCUACUCCAUUUUCACCAUGCUGUGCUGCUGCCUGCCACUUGGCAUCGCUGCACUUAUCUACUCCAUCUCGGUGAGUGGGACUUUUAUUUCUGUUUUAAGAGUAUUUAAAUGUAAUGUAGACUAAUGUGUUUCCAGUAGAUAUGUAUCCCAAAUAAUUCACAAAACAUAACUUUUUUCAUUUUGUAGAGUAGUCAGUAGUGUAUUUCUCACUCUAGUCUCUUUUUAGCGUUAUCCAAGAAACCCAGUUACCGGGCUGCAUAGCUGGGGAGAGGGACAUGUUUGUGAUAGUUUUGGCCUUACAUUGUGGGUGUCUCACAGUCUUGAGUUCUGUUUGAAUAAUAUCCUCAGGAUAUAGUGGUUUGAGGGGAUCGGGGGAGGGGAGAUGGGGUACGAAGUGGGAAUUGGGGAGAGUGUGUGUAAGAAAGAGAGGGACCCUUCCCGGAAUAUGGGUGGUUAAAAAUGGGUGGUUAAAUAUGGGUGGUUAAACAUGCGGGUGACUUGACUGUGUGAGUGACGUAAGAGGAGGUGGUAUUCAAAAUGUAAAAGGUAUUCUGGGCUUAUCAAAUCGCAAAAGACAAAACGAGAACUCCAACAACCCUCCCACAUGUCCUUUGCCAAACCUCACCCACGAAUGGACAGCCACACUGAGAAGAGGGACUCGAGACGCCAACAACCAGGGUCACCAGCAGGUUGCUGAGAGGAGUUCUCGUCUAGCACGGAUACUGAACCACUCCGCCCUGGGUAUCGGCAUCACCGUCAUCAUCCUGUACAUUGUCUACGUCGUCAUCCUGGCCAAAAAUAUCCACUGAUCUGACACCUAAACACCGGCUUGCACCACAGCCACCGCUUCUCUCAACCCCAGCCCCCAAAAUCAUCCUGAUCUUGACCACAUAAAGUCGGUGCCAGUUACAGGCACUUUCCAAAGAGAUACAUAAUGCUGUUUAUUCAUCAACAUUUAUGACAUGCUUUUUUAAAAACUAUAUAUCUAAUGACUUACUUUUUUAAAUACCUGCAGACAAGAUAGUUUAAAUUGUUAAUUCAUUUGCCUGUUUAAUUUUAAGUUUAAUAUACAUAAAUAAACAACAAAUGAUGGAUACUGAUAGUUUUUUGGAAUAUUUCUAAUAAAUGUCUAAAGGAUAGUGUAUGUGUAUUCACUGUGUAUGGAUAAGUCAUAUCAGAGUUUAGAGACAGAUUUGACAAUGUUAUGAGAAUGCAGCAGAAAGAGACUAUUCUUAAAGUCUGAAAGGACAUGUAUUACUGGUUGUCAUUACACAGAGUGCCAGUAAGGUUACCACUCACAAGAAUAAACAUUUUGCAACUCAAUGUCAAAUCUUUACUUCUUGUUGUACAAAUGUAUCAAUUUGCUCAAUUCAGUGUUCUGUGCUGUCAGCAAUGGCACAAGCAAUACUCAACUCAACUUAUUUUGGACAACCGUGGAGACUAAGGCCUAGAUUCAAACUGUAGCGCAGAAGAUCAGCUGUAUAGCACUAUUUAAAUGUAAAGGUAAUUUACGAUUUAGUAAACAUAUGCAGCGUUUACCGUGAAUGCAGUCUCCGCAAACGCAAGAACAUGGCCUUCCACAGUCAAAAGAAAUUGCAGCGCUGUUCCAGUUUGGCCUUACAGUUGAUUCAUUUGGUGAAAUGUUCACACUAUUCCAUGUCAUUUAUAGUCACAUAUUGCCAGAUUAUGUAUAACACUCUUUAAGUUAGAUAUAUAUUUUAUUUUAGUAUAUAUUCAGUGACGCUCACCUCUUCUAUUUACCAAGGGGUUCAACUUUAUCCUUCUCUAAAGUGUGUAGUUGUUGGAAAAAGUGUUUACCUUGUAUCAUGUAUUUUUGUUUGUGAAAACACAAAAGAGACCAUUAUAAGAAUGCAGAUAUGUAAACCAAAUUUGUUUUAAAAUAAAGUUCAACAGGUAAAUAAAUCACACACUGAUUUCAGACACAUAGAUCAAAAGCCUUUUGACUGGCGGCAGGCUACAGCUAAUAAUCAACUUCCAAGUCCAAUUGAUCAACAACAAAAAAGCAUGAUUAAUCUUAACACUUAACAUUUCUCUCUUUACCCUCUGAUUUAUGUAUAUUAACAUUUGUAUUAUAUGCAGUACCAGUCAAGAGUUUCUUUAUUUUUACAAUUUUCUACAUUGUAGAAUAAUAGUGAAGACACAAAAACUAUGAAAUAACACAUAUAAAACCAUGUAGUAACCAAAAAGGUGUUAAACAAAUCAAAAUAUAUUUUAGAUUUUAGAUUCUUCAAAGUAGCCACCCUUUGCCUUGAUGGCAGCUUUGCACACUCUUGGCAUUCGCUCAACCAGCUUCAUCUGGAAUAAUUUUCCAACAGUCUUGAAGGAGUUCCCACAUAUGCUGAGCACUUGUUGGUUUAUUUUCCUUCACUCUGCGGUCCAACUCAUCCCAAACCAUCUCAAUUGGGUUGAGAUCAGGUGAUUGUCGAGGCCAGGUCAUCUGAAGCAGCACUCCAUCACUCUCCUUCUUAGUCAAAUAGCCCUUACACAGCCUGGAGGUGUGUUGGGUCACUGUCCUGUUGAAAAACGUAUGAUUGUCCCGCUAAGGGCAAACCAGAUGGGAUGGCGUAUCGCUGCAGAAUGCAGUGGUAUUAUACUGCAAAAAAAAAAAAAACACAUCACACCUCUUCCAUGCUUCACGGUGGGAACUACACAUGCAGAUAUCAUCUGAUUAAUGAUGGUCUUGUCCUCUCUUGGAGCUCGCAUUCCAUAGAAUGAGUUGGUGUUUCUGUACUAUGAAGUACCAGGGACGAGAUCAGAGCCUUGUCUUAGGGGACAAACUCUGUACAACAAGAACAGUCUUCAUAGCAAAUACUAUCUGGCUGGGUGAUACUCCUUUCUCAUUUAUCAAGUCUCACCUUGUGACCCAUUCCACACAUCUGUUGUUUGUCAUGUAGACUAAGGGGAUGCAUCUUUGCUAUAAAAGGUGUUUGUAUUCUUUGUCUCAGGGAUCUCAACAAAGCAUCUAAGAGUGGUUCGUCGACCAGCCAUCGUUAUUGCAGAGUACUCACAUCAUUCAUUUGAGUGUGGCGUAUGACAUGCUUUCCUUAUUAAUAAGUUAAUAAAGAUUUAGAUUAAGUUUAACUCUGACUUGUUUGUCUCUCCUCAUUUGAUAAUACAGAAAUUAACCUCUACACUCAUCAGACCAAAGGACAGAUUUCCACUGGUCUAAUGUCCAUUGCUAGUGUUUCUUGGCCCAAGCAAGUUUCUUCUUCUUAUUGGUGUCCUUUAGUAGUGGUUUCUUUGCAGCAAUUCGACCAUGAAGGCCUGAUUCACGCACUCUCCUCUGAACAGUUGAUGUUGAGAUGUGUCUGUUACUUGAACUCCGUGAAGCUUUUAUUUGGGCUGCAAUUUCAGAGGCUGGUAACUCUGCUGAACUUAUCCUCUGCAGCAGAGGUAACUCUGGGUCUUCCUUUACUGUGGCGGUCCUCAUGACAGCCAGUUUCAUCAUAGCGCUUAAUGGUUUUUGUGACUGCACUUGAAUGAACUUUCAAAGUUCUUGAAAUGUUCCGCAUUGACUGACCUUCAUGUCUUAAAGUAACGAUGAACUGUCAUUUCUCUUUGCUUAUUUGAGCCGUUCUUGCCAUAAUAUUGACUUGGUAUUUUACCAAAUAGGGCCAUCUUCUGUGUACAACCCCUAACUUGUCACAACACAACUGAUUGGCUCAAAUUCAUAAAGAAGGAACGAAAUUCCACAAAUUAACUUUCAACAAGGCACACUCGUUAACUGAAAUGCAUUCCAGGUGACUACCUCAUGAUUCUGGUUGAGAGAAUGCCAAGAGAGUGCAAAGCCGUCAUCAAUGCAAAAUGUGGCUACUUUGAAGAAUCUCAAAUAUAUUUUGAUUUGUUUAACACUUUUUUCGUUACUACAUGAUUCAAUAUGUGUUAUUUUGUAUUUUUUUGUCUUCAUUAUUAUUCUACAAUGUAGAAAAUAGUAAAAAUAAAGAAAAACAUUGAAUGAGUAGUUGUGUCCAAACUUUUGACUGGUACUGUAUAUCAAGCAAGUAUUUGUAUAUUAUCAGAUUAACUGUUUUGUACAGAUAAUUAUUAAACUCAAGUUACAAACACACUUAGUUUAAAUGUUUUCAAAAAAUUGUGCACUGGGCCUUCACUAGUCUUGUAUUAGCAGACAAAUACAGACAUCUUCAGUGCGGGCAAUUUACCUUUAUUGGAGGUUACAUGUAAUUGGAUCUUUGAGGUAGUCUAUUAGCCUACAUUGUUUUGUUGUUCAUUUCAAGGACACUUGUUAGGUCAAGACACUUUAGCAAUUGUAUAGCCUACUGAUGUAACAUGAGAGACUGAAAGUAAGGCUGACAUAAGAACACAUCAGCUGUUGACUCAUCUAUUACAACCUAUACAAUCAUGUUAUUUCUUUGUAGGUACCUGCCGGUGUAUUCUCUUAAUCAUCUUUUACCCAAACAUUUUAGAGUGGACCAGAUUUUGAUAGUGGCUUGACAUUUAGCUCUUAGUAGUCUGUUAUUGUAUCUUAGUGAAGUGACAUGGAAACAACAUUGAUUCAACCAGAUUUUGCCUAGUGGGUUGCCAGUUGACAAUGUGGAAGCAGUUUACUCUGAGAGAGGUGUGGUAAGAACAACCAAAAAGUGGAACUUGUCCUCUAAACCAAUAAAGGAAGGUAAGAUUGCACUUAUUUGAUGGAAUGAGGAAAUGAGAGUGCGUCUGUGGUUCCUUUGUGAAUAAUUAACAACAUUGCCCACAUUCAUGAUUCCUCUUCCUCCCAACAGUUCAAUGUAUGCCACUAUUUUCUUUCCUAUUUGGUAAGGUGCAUUAUUUGUAUUGAACAGUUCAUCUUAGUAGAAUGUAAAUGUACAUUUUUAGAAGAAUGGGUUCCAAAAGGGUUCAUUGGCUGUCCCCAACAGCAUAACCCUUUUUGGUUCCAGGUAGAACUAUUUUGGGUUUCAUGUAGAACCGUCUGUGGAAAGGGUUCUACAUAGAACACAAAAGGAUUCUACCUGGAACAAAAGGGUUCAACCUGCAAACAUAGGGUUUUUUCAAGUAAAUAAUUUAAGAGUGUUCUAUGCAUCAGUUGGGUCUCUAUAAGCUUCAAUAUGAGGUCCUAAACCUAGCAUGAAAGUGCAUCCUUGUAGCUGUGUGGGCUAAUAUAUUUAAAAUGUUUGCCUUUGAGUAUGUUUAGCCAAUGGCCAAGUGGUAAGUUGAGCCAAUGUUUGAGCCAAUGGCAAAUGUAAGUGUUUUCUUCCCAGGCAUAAGGCAUUAUUGUUGAAAUAUGAUGUAACAACAGGGCCUGGUCUAUGUUAAAAGUAAUUUUUUUAAAGUGUUAUUUUGUAGUUAAACCUAUGUUAAAAUAUGCUUAAUUAGAAUGAUUAAAAGACAAAAAAAGUGAUUGUGAUGAAUUGUUUUAAAGCUAUGGUUUUAAAAAGGUAUUGGUAAUAUUUCACUGAGUACAG
This 6152-nucleotide long non-coding RNA is filed under the name Salmo salar (Atlantic salmon). RNAcentral's name for it is "lncRNA (ENSSSAG00000107288.1)". The record is from RNAcentral. Lineage: Eukaryota; Metazoa; Chordata; Actinopteri; Salmoniformes; Salmonidae.